UUAAGUUCAGCGGGUAUCCCUACCUGAUCCGAGGUCAAACAUGGGUAAAGAGCUUGUGGACGCCCGUGGCUCGGUCUCAGUGCGCUGAUUCUGCUGCGCACCAAACUAAGGACAGGCUGCCAAUUCCUUUAAGGCGAGUCGCGCACGUAGGCAGGACAAACACCCAACACCAAGCAGAGCUUGAGGGUUGAAAUGACGCU
Molecule: unclassified non-coding RNA, 200 nt
Filed under: Neohendersonia sp.
Lineage: Eukaryota; Fungi; Ascomycota; Dothideomycetes; Pleosporales; Neohendersoniaceae
Description: partial internal transcribed spacer 2
Source: RNAcentral